CAGUCGCCGCGGUAAUACGGAGGGGGCUAGCGUUGUUCGGAAUUACUGGGCGUAAAGCGCACGUAGGCGGCUUGGUAAGUUAGAGGUGAAAGCCCGGAGCUCAACUCCGGAAUUGCCUUUAAGACUGCCGAGCUAGUAGGUGAGAGAGGUAAGUGGAAUUCCGAGUGUAGAGGUGAAAUUCGUAGAUAUUCGGAAGAACACCAGUGGCGAAGGCGGCUUACUGGCUCAUUCUAGACGCUGAGGUGCGAAAGCGUGGGGAGCAAACAGAAUUAGAUACCCCCGUAGUCCCUGUCUCUUAUAC
This 301-nucleotide ribosomal RNA is filed under the name uncultured bacterium. RNAcentral describes it as "partial 16S ribosomal RNA". It matches the Rfam family "Bacterial small subunit ribosomal RNA", at positions 509 to 807 of the family's 1533-position model. The record is from RNAcentral.